GUUUCUAAAGGAAAUAGCUAUCCGAUGAUUUUAGGUGUCAACAUUUUCUGGCGCAAAUCCAGAUAGAAACU
RNAcentral lists this transfer RNA (71 nucleotides) under Myxine glutinosa (Atlantic hagfish). RNAcentral's name for it is "transfer RNA-Leu(CUN)". The record is from RNAcentral. Lineage: Eukaryota; Metazoa; Chordata; Myxini; Myxiniformes; Myxinidae.